GAGGAAGAAAUACUUGCCAUUUUUUUUCCAGACGCUGACUUGAAAGGGUCUUCCAAGUUGAUUGGUGUCGAUCUACAUUUUUAGCCAUUAAAUGUAAUUGGCAAUCUGGCAUAUAAUUUCACUUGGCCAAAAUGUGAUGACGUGGGUCGAAACUGCUGUCCAUUUUGUCGAAAUGUCGGCCAUUGUUAGCUCGUCAAUGUGACAACUACAAAUUCCUUUGUAAGAUUUAUCAAGCCAGGUGAAGUCUGCGCUUCUUUGUUGCAGUCUAAUGUGCGCAUGGAUUCCUUGCAGUCAUCCAGUGAAAGGUGUGAUUAAAUUGAGCUGUUGCAUGCAGUCUUUGGUACUGAUGUUGUCCUGGAGUGUGGGAGA
Molecule: long non-coding RNA, 369 nt
Organism: Daphnia pulex (common water flea)
Lineage: Eukaryota; Metazoa; Arthropoda; Branchiopoda; Diplostraca; Daphniidae
Exons: 3
Source: RefSeq, a predicted model, not a curated record